This 81-nucleotide transfer RNA is filed under the name Pseudomonas syringae. RNAcentral describes it as "tRNA-Leu". Lineage: Bacteria; Pseudomonadati; Pseudomonadota; Gammaproteobacteria; Pseudomonadales; Pseudomonadaceae. The record is from RNAcentral.
AUGGUCAAUUUGGUAGAGCCGCCAGCUUCAGGUGCUGGUGACCGCAAGGUCGUGGAAGUUCGAGUCUUCUUCUGGGCACCA